This 251-nucleotide ribosomal RNA is filed under the name uncultured bacterium. RNAcentral describes it as "partial 16S ribosomal RNA". It matches the Rfam family "Bacterial small subunit ribosomal RNA", at positions 524 to 776 of the family's 1533-position model. The record is from RNAcentral.
AACGUAGGAGACAAACGUUAUCCGGAGUUACUGGGCGUAAAGGGCGUGUAGGCGGUUUGUUAAGUCUGGCGUGAAAGCUCUCGGCUAAACCGGGAGAGGUCGUUGGAUACUGGCAAACUAGAGGAUGGUAGAGGCGUGUGGAAUUCCGGGUGUAGUGGUGAAAUGCGUAGAGAUCCGGAGGAACACCAAUUGCGAAGGCAGCUCGCUGGGACGUAACUGACGCUGACGCGAAAGCGUGGGGAGCGAACAGG